GCUCCGCUGGCUAAUGCAAAUUGGUACAGCUACGAGUCUUAGAAGCUCGGCCUUUGUCGGUUCGAAUCCGACGUGGAGCACCA
Molecule: transfer RNA, 83 nt
Filed under: Sulfuritalea sp.
Lineage: Bacteria; Pseudomonadati; Pseudomonadota; Betaproteobacteria; Nitrosomonadales; Sterolibacteriaceae
Description: tRNA-Leu
Source: RNAcentral